This 468-nucleotide ribosomal RNA is filed under the name uncultured bacterium. Its description in RNAcentral is "partial 16S ribosomal RNA". It matches the Rfam family "Bacterial small subunit ribosomal RNA", at positions 28 to 507 of the family's 1533-position model. The record is from RNAcentral.
GACGAACGCUGGCGGCGUGCUUAACACAUGCAAGUCGAACGGAAAGGCCCUGCUUUUGUGGGGUGCUCGAGUGGCGAACGGGUGAGUAACACGUGAGUAACCUGCCCUUGACUUUGGGAUAACUUCAGGAAACUGGGGCUAAUAUCGGAUAGGAGCUCCUGCUGCAUGGUGGGGGUUGGAAAGUUUCGGCGGUUGGGGAUGGACUCGCGGCUUAUCAGCUUGUUGGUGGGGUAGUGACUUACCAAGGCUUUGACGGGUAGCCGGCCUGAGAGGGUGACCGGCCACAUUGGGACUGAGAUACGGCCCAGACUCCUACGGGAGGCAGCAGUGGGGAAUAUUGCACAAUGGGCGGAAGCCUGAUGCAGCAACGCCGCGUGCGGGAUGACGGCCUUCGGGUUGUAAACCGCUUUCGCCUGUGACGAAGCGUGAGUGACGGUAAUGGGUAAAGAAGCACCGGCUAACUACGUG